Molecule: non-coding RNA, 125 nt
Organism: Triticum aestivum (bread wheat)
Lineage: Eukaryota; Viridiplantae; Streptophyta; Magnoliopsida; Poales; Poaceae
Source: Rfam
CAUCUACUCCCUCCGUUCGGAAUUACUUGUCACAAAAAUGGAUAGAAAUGGAUGUAUCUAUAACUAAAAUACAUCUAGAUACAUUCAUUUCUUGGACGAGUAAUUCCGAACGGAGGGAGUAGAUG